AAAAUAACAUGACCUCUUGUAAACAUAUAUAGGGCUUAUGUAACUGUGCGGUAAUGUAUUUGAUAUAGCGUUGGUACCGAGCUGACGUGUGCUAGACAAUGUGGUCGCGAGGAGCGAUCGUUCACGGUACAUGUGGUGCUGGGCACACUGACACGUGUGUGAGACAACAGCUUUGUAUUGACGCAGGAGUGUAACGACCCUAUGUUUCUAUGUGGUCGGUGUGCCUUAAUGAACUGUAGUCUCGUAACCCGGACUGUUGCACUUGUUUAAAAUACUGUUUAAGUGGUUUGGUAGUUUGGGAUCCUGUAUUUAGACCCAAACCGGCAUCACUGUGAAGGGAAUGUGUUUUUGGGCUCUUCAUAUAACACUGAAGAUGUUAACAGAAAGUUUCAAAAACAGUAGAAAUAUAAAUUGACUUCAAAACAAGAUGAUGAGACACACGAAGUCAGAAGACGUGAAGCAGACACCCGACGAUGACGUAUGUGAUGUGGCUUUCCUCCCUUACAAGGCAGCCGACGAAUUCAGCAAACCCAGGCAACAUCGCGUCUUCACAAACAAAGUCGUUUACACAGUUUUUCUGUGUUCAGCUUUCUUCGUUUUUGGUUGGACCUACGAACAGAUGGGCCCGGCACUACUGGAUCUUCAGUACAAUACUAACGUGACGUUUACCCUGGCCUCUGUGUACAUGAUGGCGGUCAACAUGGCU
Long non-coding RNA from Pecten maximus, 706 nucleotides. RefSeq lists it as uncharacterized. The transcript has 3 exons. The record is from RefSeq and is a predicted model, not a curated record. Lineage: Eukaryota; Metazoa; Mollusca; Bivalvia; Pectinida; Pectinidae.